UAUACAGUCCAGAGAGCCCUGCUCUAAAUCAUAUGACAUUAACUGUGUAGUAGAUCACACGCUACUGUACAGUUUUGAGAGCCCUUGCUUUGAAUCACACAAAGAAUCUAAUAAUUGAAUUCCCCAACAUCCUAUUACAGUUCUAUGCUUAUAACCAGAAUGUAAUCCUAACCCCAUCUUGUAUGAAGAGCUGACAUCUCAGAUUCUGACUUGACAUGAUUCCUCUGACUGCCACGAAUUCAUAGCUUCGAACCGUGCAUUGUUUGGAGCUCAAACAAUCGAGUUACGCUCCAAUUACUUCUUUACAACAUUCUGAAACUUGCAGUGGCAGACUCGUCCGCCAAGAUUGGCAUAUUAAAGAUCGAUCCCAGAAUAUUAUACUGAUGUCAAGUUAGUCAUCUAAUUUCCAGAAACUACAACUCAAUCCUUGAACUUUAUAAAAGCUACAUAAAGAUCACUUAACUUUUGGCUCUUCCAGAUCAGUCACCGAACUUCUCUCAAGUUGCGGGACGAUCACUCUCUUCGGCAAAUGCCCAGAAUCCGGAGAGACCAUAACUCGGCCACGCGCCAAAAGCACCACCUAGGAAUCUUCAUUUUCCUCCUUCCGAUUGUCCGCCUUGAUUUCCGAUCACAAGGAUCGUCAUCUGGCCGCCAUCACCGCUCGAUCUUCUCCUCCGAUAUGUGCAGGGUCGUCGCUGCCGUCACCAGCUCCUAGCCACCGAUCAUUCAUCCUCGAAUCUUCACGACGAGUCCUUCUCGAGCCUUGAAGACCAACAACUCUCACGAUCGGCUAGAUCUCCAUCGCUGGUCGUCCUGGAUUAAUUGCAAAUCGGCGCCAAUGAACUCUUUUUCUGCAUGAUUUUCUGUUCCCUGGAGAUGGGAAGA
RNAcentral lists this long non-coding RNA (885 nucleotides) under Linum usitatissimum (flax). Its description in RNAcentral is "long non-coding RNA (LUSI_LNC006289)". The record is from RNAcentral. Lineage: Eukaryota; Viridiplantae; Streptophyta; Magnoliopsida; Malpighiales; Linaceae.